This 465-nucleotide ribosomal RNA is filed under the name uncultured Hydrogenophaga sp. RNAcentral's name for it is "bacterial SSU rRNA". It matches the Rfam family "Bacterial small subunit ribosomal RNA", at positions 338 to 795 of the family's 1533-position model. Lineage: Bacteria; Pseudomonadati; Pseudomonadota; Betaproteobacteria; Burkholderiales; Comamonadaceae. The record is from RNAcentral.
CCUACGGGGGGCAGCAGUGGGGAAUUUUGGACAAUGGGCGCAAGCCUGAUCCAGCAAUGCCGCGUGCGGGAAGAAGGCCUUCGGGUUGUAAACCGCUUUUGUACGGAACGAAAAGGCUCUGGCGAAUACCUGGGGCUGAUGACGGUACCGUAAGAAUAAGCACCGGCUAACUACGUGCCAGCAGCCGCGGUAAUACGUAGGGUGCGAGCGUUAAUCGGAAUUACUGGGCGUAAAGCGUGCGCAGGCGGUUGUGUAAGACAGGCGUGAAAUCCCCGGGCUUAACCUGGGAAUGGCGCUUGUGACUGCACGGCUGGAGUACGGCAGAGGGGGAUGGAAUUCCGCGUGUAGCAGUGAAAUGCGUAGAUAUGCGGAGGAACACCGAUGGCGAAGGCAGUCCCCUGGGCCUGUACUGACGCUCAUGCACGAAAGCGUGGGGAGCAAACAGGAUUAGAUACCCCGGUAGUC